This 484-nucleotide ribosomal RNA is filed under the name Treponema sp. oral taxon 237. Its description in RNAcentral is "bacterial SSU rRNA". It matches the Rfam family "Bacterial small subunit ribosomal RNA", at positions 29 to 495 of the family's 1533-position model. Lineage: Bacteria; Pseudomonadati; Spirochaetota; Spirochaetia; Treponematales; Treponemataceae. The record is from RNAcentral.
AACGAACGCUGGCGGCGCGUCUUAAGCAUGCAAGUCGAACGGCAAGAGAGAAGCUUGCUUCUCUCCUAGAGUGGCGGACUGGUGAGGAACACGUGGGUAAUCUACCCUUAAGAUGGGGAUAGCUGUUAGAAAUAGCAGGUAAUACCGAAUAGGCUCGGUGCUUCAUAAGAGGCGUUGAGGAAAGGGAGCUACGGCUCCGCUUGAGGAUGAGCUUGCGUCCCAUUAGCUAGUUGGUGAGGUAAAGGCCCACCAAGGCGACGAUGGGUAUCCGGCCUGAGAGGGUGAUCGGACACAUUGGGACUGAGAUACGGCCCAAACUCCUACGGGAGGCAGCAGCUAAGAAUAUUCCGCAAUGGACGGAAGUCUGACGGAGCGACGCCGCGUGGAUGAAGAAGGCUGAAAAGUUGUAAAAUCCUUUUGUUGAUGAAGAAUAAGGGGAAGAGGGAAUGCUUCUCUGAUGACGGUAAUCAGCGAAUAAGCCCCG